UUUUAUUUAAAUAAGAAUUAUCAAUCCAUUAAUUGUCUAAUGUCCCUACCCAAUCCAGGGUCGUGGGGGAGCCAGAGACUAGCAAGCAAGGUGCACAAGGCAGGAUACACCCCGGACAGCUCACAAAUAAACACAACUGUACUGUAUGAGCAGAUGUGAACAACUGACAGUUUUUAGACAUCAGCAAUCACCUCAGGACACCAAUAAACAAAAGUUGA
RNAcentral lists this long non-coding RNA (218 nucleotides) under Lepisosteus oculatus (spotted gar). RNAcentral describes it as "lncRNA (ENSLOCG00000023229.1)". The record is from RNAcentral. Lineage: Eukaryota; Metazoa; Chordata; Actinopteri; Semionotiformes; Lepisosteidae.